RNAcentral lists this ribosomal RNA (253 nucleotides) under uncultured bacterium. RNAcentral describes it as "partial 16S ribosomal RNA". It matches the Rfam family "Bacterial small subunit ribosomal RNA", at positions 524 to 776 of the family's 1533-position model. The record is from RNAcentral.
UACGUAGGGUGCAAGCGUUGUCCGGAAUUAUUGGGCGUAAAGAGCUCGUAGGCGGUUUGCCGCGUCGGCUGUGAAAUCCCGAGGCUCAACCUCGGGCCUGCAGCCGAUACGGGCAAACUAGAGUGUGGUAGGGGAGACUGGAAUUCCUGGUGUAGCGGUGAAAUGCGCAGAUAUCAGGAGGAACACCGGCGGCGAAGGCGGGUCUCUGGGCCAUAACUGACGCUGAGGAGCGAAAGCGUGGGGAGCGAACAGG